CAUCCCGCAGCCCAGAGCCCACCCUAAUCUUCCCCUAUCUCUCCGCCCUCUCUCCCUUAUCUCUUUCUCUCCCGAUCUGAGCGGCGGCGGUGGCGGCUCCCAUCCUCUUCCUCCACUCCUCUCCCUCAGAUUGAGCUCCGCCCCGAAGGAAAGGGUACGCGGCCGUCGAUCUGUGUGUGUCUAGCCAUGGAGGGCUCGCCCCUCUCGCGCGCCUCGUCCGCACAGAGCGCUAGCAGCCCACACGGCAUAGAUCCACUAUCCCUGCGUCCGCCCCACACCGGCCGCCGGUGACUGCCGCACUAUUCCAUUCCUCCCCAAGCGUGCCGCACGCGACGGCCCAUGCUGCCAUGCCGUUUUUCUGCAGCUAGACUGCCACCCCUACCCUCGCGCUCCGGGCAGAGGCUCAUUCUUCUUGGUGGUGACCACGCGUUCCUCCCGGUGGUGGCGCUCUGCCCGCUGUGUUGCCUUUCUCCAAGCAGCUGUGCCCUUCGACCCCUACCUGUAAUCAAUUGAUCCGGCAACAGAGAGUUGAAGCUGCAAAGAAGCGUGAUGAGGAAAAAGCCGGUACACCACUACUCUUUGAAAUAUUUGGGAGAGGAUGACUAAUCUAAUAUUGCCAAGAUAUACGUUUGUUGUCCUUGACCUGAUUUUGAUGGCACUCAAUUUAUUUCAGCUUGGAGUUGGUUUGUAUUGUUUCUGCAAACAAUUGUCUGAACAUGUAAAUAAUAGUUGGUCACAAGUCAUAUGGGUACAGUGCAUCAUAACAACUCUGCCCCUACACAAUAUACAUCCCAUUACUUAUUUUUUUGGUAUGAUAAGUUGAGAAACAACUUGUUUUGUUGUUUUUUGAUGUGAACUACAUUAUAUGGACCUUUCACUCGAUUAUGUGCUAUAUUUUUUUACUAUAAUUGACAUGUUGAUAUGUCAUUCUAGAAUUUUGUUACUUCUGUUGGAACCUAAUUUUCAAUUUUACACCUUGCAGAAUUUAUGACUGACAGAUUACAUGCUGGUUUCUUACUGCUUAGGUUUCGACAUUCGACAUUUGAACAAAUCAUAUACUGGAGAUUAUUAUAAUAGAAGGUAAACUUACCAAACGAACAGAGCGAACAAUACUUUUGUUAGUGUUUUCCAGUCUGUUGCAUGCGCAUUGUGGUCACUACUGGCAAUCCAUGGAAAUUUAAAUGUAUAGUGAUGGAUUAAACAAAUGGAACCUAUAUCCUGACUUGCCACUACUAUACUGUAGCUUCUGAAACACUUAUAUGCACAGAUAGUUUCUCUUUUAUCAUAACUGAAACAUUAUAAAGAUAAAUCUCACUCAGUUUUUAAGUGGGGAAGGGAAAGCUUCAAGAUAUUGCAUUUAAAACACUGAUAUCUAUUUGAAAAUUAAUUCAUGUGCAUACCUCCUGGAUCCUAUCAUUAUCAUGUCUCUAUUUCUCUUGUUCAAGAGAAGCGUGAAACAAAGCACUCAUAUUCACAGCAGCACAUACAGUUAUUCUAUGCUAUCAGAAAUAAGGUCGUUAAUAUUCAGAUAUAUGCAUGUAAACUUGGCCGGUUAAUCAUCAAACACACACACACACACACACACACAAACACCACGCUGGAAGGUGGUAUUCAUGGUUGAUAGAUGUCCCUAUAAUAUUGUACAUUGUUCCUCUGAUCCAUUGCGAGGUAUAUAAAUGAUUCGAUUUUGACUUUAUUUUUUCAUCUUAGUUCACCUAGUGUUGGAUAAAAGUUGGACAGAUCCACAUAGGUAAGUCUUAUCCAUAUAAUGCUUUUACAAUCUGCCAGUGGAACUUUAAAUGAUACGAUUUACCAAUUUCAACGAUGUAUAUUAGCAGAUUAAGUAAAAGCAGUGUUAUAUAUGAAAUGAACUUAAUUCAACCAUUCUCUAGAAGAAAGUACCUAUUUGUCAUAUGGCGAUGUUAUCUUGUAGAACAACAAUAGGGAUUUGUUAACAUUCGACCUUUAUGCUGUACUUUUUCCAUUUUGAUUCGCCUACUGUUAAUAUCCUCUUCUUCAACUGACACAUUCUUGCAAGCUAUCACAAUUGAUGAAAUAUAAUUACGAGCACUUAGCUUUUUUGAAUUUUAUAUGCAUACCAGAAGAUUUACUCGUUACAAACAUUAAACAGACGGACCUCUUUUUCAACAAGUUGUUUCAAAUCCCACUGAGACAAAAUAAAAGUGUGCUACUGCUAAUUACUAUACUGGAACAGAAUGUAUGGUUGACAUAAAGGCUAUAUUGGAAUAUUUUAGCUGUUGUGGUGUUCCUAAUAACUUAAAACUGCUGUGAAGAUGAACUGAACAAUAAUACUCUCAAAUUAGAGAGCAAGAAAUUUCGAGUUAGUCUACUGUAGGGUAAUAAAGUUCUUAUAUAUGCUGCAAAUCAGUUGCCUUGUGGUGUAAUCACUGAUGUCAUGUUUCCGUAAGUGCCUGCUCUAAUGACCUUAAUAGUGCAAAGCUAUGUUUUAUAUAAAUUUGCCUAUUCUUUCCAGAGUGCAGGGAAAUGUAUGAGGUGAAUCAAUUUUCCUAUUCUGUUGUUGCUGCUAUAUUUAGGUGUAUGUGGGUUUAAGAUUGGACACUAAUUGUUGAACCAGGAGCUUUCCCUCGUUAGGAAUAUAAGCUGAAACUUUCCCAUUGCCUUGAUUCUUUGUAGGAAAGACAUACAAGAUGACCAGGAACCAUGAAGCUCGCAGUUUGCGUUAACUGUGUAAUGGAGAGGACUAUGAAUCGCUGGACAUGUGUCUAUUAGCUAUCAUAUAUGGUGUCUCAGUCAAGUGGAUAUUCUGUGUAAUGUAAGACGCAUGAUUUGUAGGACAUAUAUCUAUUGGCUAUCAUUUUGUAAACCUAUCCGGUCUCUCGGUCACUGAACCAUAAAUGUUUCCUCUUAAUUGGCUACCUCCUCCGUUUGUGAGAAGUAAUUAAUGUGCUAUUUUUGUUUGGUUUUGGUUUAA
Molecule: long non-coding RNA, 2953 nt
Organism: Triticum aestivum (bread wheat)
Lineage: Eukaryota; Viridiplantae; Streptophyta; Magnoliopsida; Poales; Poaceae
Exons: 2
Source: RefSeq, a predicted model, not a curated record